UACGUAGGGAGCAAGCGUUGUUCGGAUUCAUUGGGCGUAAAGGGUGCGUAGGUGGCGGGGCAAGUCUGGUGUGAAAUCCUGGGGCUCAACCCCGGAACUGCACUGGAUACUGCUUUGCUAGAGUACUGGAGAGGGAACUGGAAUUUACGGUGUAGCAGUGAAAUGCGUAGAUAUCGUAAGGAAGACCAGUGGCGAAGGCGAGUUCCUGGACAGUUACUGACACUGAGGCACGAAGGCCAGGGGAGCAAACGGG
This 253-nucleotide ribosomal RNA is filed under the name uncultured bacterium. Its description in RNAcentral is "partial 16S ribosomal RNA". It matches the Rfam family "Bacterial small subunit ribosomal RNA", at positions 524 to 776 of the family's 1533-position model. The record is from RNAcentral.